CUUUGUUGAUAGUAUUUGCAUUAGAGUGUUCAUUUAGAGUCUAUCCUCUGUCAUGUCCACUCAACCUCUGUAUUCAGGCAGUUGCUUUUUCUUGGAGUUCCACUCCCAUAGUUUAUCCUUUGCUUAUGAAUGGUGUUUUUUUCUCCUGGAUCCCUGAAAGUUGUUCAGGGACAUUACACCGCCCCUAAUGGAGAAGUCCAUUACGUUCGAUGAUACCACAGUGUGUUUGUCUCUGUGUACAAUGUUCUCCUGGUUCUGCUCCUCUCACUCUGCAUCACUUCCUGGAGGUUGUUCCAGUCUCCAUGGAACUUCUCCACUUUAUUGUUCCUUUUAGCACAAUAGUAUUCCAUCACCAACAUAUACCACAGUUUGUUCAGCCAUUCCCCAAUUGAUGGGCAUCCCCUCAUUUACCAGUUUUGGGCCACCACAAAGAGCGCAGCUAUGAAUAUUUUUGUACAAGUCUUUGUGUCCAUUAUCUCUUUGGGGGUAGAUAUUCUUUUGUCGCCCUUUGGGCAUAGUUCCAAAUUGCCCUCCAGAAUGGUUGGAUCAGUUCACAGCUCCACCAGCAAUGAAUUAAUGUCCCUACUUUGCCACAUCCCCUCCAACAUUCAUUACUUUCCUUUGAUGUUAUGUUAGCCAAUCUGCUAGGUGUGAGGGGAUACCUAAGAGUUGUUUUUAUUUGCAUCUCUCUGAUUAUAAGAGAUUUAGAACACUUCUUCAUGUACUUAUUAAUAGUUUUGAUUUAUUUAUCUGAGAACUGCCUAUCCAUGUCCCUUGCCCAUUUAUCAAUUGGAGAAUGGCUUGAUUUUUUGUACAAUUGAUUUAGCUCUUUAUAAAUAUGAGUAAUUAAACCUUUGUCAGAGGUUUCUAUGAAGAUUUUUUCCCAGUUUGUUGUUUCCCUUCUGAUUUUAGUUACAUUGGUUUUGUUUGUGCAAAAGCUUUUUAAUGUGAUGUAGUCAAAAUUAUUUAUUUUACAUUUUGUGAUUCUUUCUAUGUCUUGCUUGGUUUUAAAGUCUUUCCCCUCCCAAAGGUCUGAUAUGUAUACUAUUCUGUGUUUACCCAACUUACUUAUGGUUUCCUUCUUUAUGUUUAAGUCACUCACCCAUUUUGAAUUUAUCUUGGUGUAGGGUGUGAGGUGUUGAUCUAUUCCUAGUCUCUCCCACACUGUCUUCCAAUUUUCCCAACAGUUUUUAUCGAAUAGUGGAUUUUUGUCCCAAAAGCUGGGAUCUUUGGGUUUAUCGUAUACUGUCUUGCUGAGGUCGCUUUCACACAGUCUAUUCCACUGAUCUUCCUUUCUGUUUCUUAGCCAGUACCAAAUUGUUUUGAUGACUGCUGCUUUGUAAUAUAGUUUAAGGUCAGGGACUGCAAGGCCCCCAUCAUAUGUGUUUUUUUUCAUUAUUUCCCUGGAUAUACUUGAUCUUUUGUUCUUCCAAAUGAACUUUGUUAUGGUUUUUUUUUUUUUUAAAUCAGUGAAGAAGUAUUUUGGUAGUUCAAUGGGUAUGGCACUAAAUAGAUAAAUAAGUUUGGGUAGGAUGGUCAUUUUUAUUCUAUUGGCUCUUCCUCUCCAUUAGCAGUUAAUGUUUUUCCAAUUGCUCAAGUCUAAUUUUAGUUGUGUGGGGAGUGUUUUGUAGUUGUG
Molecule: long non-coding RNA, 1636 nt
Organism: Monodelphis domestica (gray short-tailed opossum)
Lineage: Eukaryota; Metazoa; Chordata; Mammalia; Didelphimorphia; Didelphidae
Source: Ensembl